GCCAUGAGACUGGGUUGUCAGCCCACGUGUCAGUGUCUUCAAGGAGAGAUGGCCUGGGUUAUUCAAUGAGGCUCAGGUGAGAACAUUACGUUUAUUUUUUUUCCAUUUCAACUCACUGUUGUGAGUGUUGUCCCCUAUGCUUUUUAUUAGAUCAAGGAGUUCCGACACAUAACAACUCUUUCACUGGAAGAGACUUUGAUGCUGAAACUGGAUGGGUACACUAACACCACGUCGCUCCAGCUGAUGCGUGCCAAAGGAGGAGAUGCUGGCUCCAGGAUGCGCCCUCUUCUGAGCACAAUUGAUGAGGAUCUGUGACCUCUCGAACCUGUGAGCCAGCCAUUCCACCACUGACACCACCAGGGCAAAACACCACUUCAGAUCAGCCGAUCCAUUGCCCAAGGCAUAUGGAAAAAAAGGAUGGGAAGAGUGCUUCAGAGGAUGGCUGAUCAAACAAAACGUGGAGAAGACCGAGAGGGAGAAGUUGGCCGGUUACUUCAUUUCGCAAAAGAUACAGGACCUCGUGAAAAAGGGGAAGAAACAGUCGAAGUAAAAAUCUGAAGGAAUGGGUGUUAGAUGUUUUCCAAUUUGUAUUAAUGUUCAUGUUGUGUGUUAUAAAUGAUGUUCCUGCUUCUAA
Long non-coding RNA from Gymnodraco acuticeps, 634 nucleotides. RefSeq lists it as uncharacterized. The transcript is spliced from 3 exons. The record is from RefSeq and is a predicted model, not a curated record. NCBI's taxonomy places the organism in Eukaryota, Metazoa, Chordata, Actinopteri, Perciformes, Bathydraconidae.